Molecule: ribosomal RNA, 415 nt
Filed under: uncultured bacterium
Lineage: Bacteria
Description: bacterial SSU rRNA
Rfam family: Bacterial small subunit ribosomal RNA
Source: RNAcentral
CAGGCCUAACACAUGCAAGUCGAACGAGACCUUCGGGUCUAGUGGCGCACGGGUGCGUAACACGUGGGAAUUUGCCUCGGGGUAUGGAAUAACUCAGGGAAACUUGAGCUAAUACCAUAUAAUGUCUUCGGACCAAAGAUUUAUCGCCCUGAGAUAAGCCCGCGUAGGAUUAGCUAGUUGGUGGGUAAAGGCUCACCAAGGCGACGAUCCUUAGCUGGUCUGAGAGGAUGAUCAGCCACACUGGGACUGAGACACGGCCCAGACUCCUACGGGAGGCAGCAGUGGGAAUAUUGGACAAUGGGCGAAAGCCUGAUCCAGCAAUGCCGCGUGAGUGAUGAAGGCCUUCGGGUUGUAAAGCUCUUUACUCGGGACGAUAAUGACGGUACCGAGAGAAUAAGCCCCGGCUAACUCCGUG